UUUCUGAUAUCUCUGUUCCUUUGCAGUGGUUAUACACCGUGUGCAAAUUUUCAUUUAUUUUAAAAAAGUGGCUUUUCAGGUGUUUAUUGGUUAAUUAGAAAACAUAUUUUUUUUCUUUUAAAAUCUUUUUGGAACCUUGCUUAUCGACAGAAUCACCAUAAGAGAGAUAGGCUGUUUAGGGCUUUAAGCACAUGUCGACUCUAACCGUUCUAUUUACUUCAAACAUUUGUUAUUAAUCGUAGCGAUUAGGGGUUUAUAAAUAUUAAUUUACAUUUUAUUAAAAAAAAAUUUGGUAAAGCAUAAAUAUAUAUAUAUAUAUAUAACCCUUAACAGGAACCAUGUUACCGUUAACCCUUUGGUUUAAAGGAACGUUGGCGCCAAAAACAGUAAAGGGAGGGAAAGAAGAGCGCCAAAAAAUGAACAAAACUCUAACAAGAAGUCGAUAUUCAAAGAUCAUAACAUCUCUAAAGAAAGCAAGAUCACGAUCAUUCGUAAAAAUGUUUUCCUCAUUGUCUUCACUACCUCAAUCUCAAUUACCAAUUCCGCCAAAAAAUUCCCCAUCCAUGAACAAUAACAACAACAAUAUCCAAAUCUUAAAAACCCAAGUUUGUAUCAUUGGAAGUGGUCCUGCUGCUCAUACUGCUGCAAUUUACACAUCAAGAGCUGAUUUAAAACCCAUUCUUUUCGAAGGGUUUAUGGCUAAUGAUAUUGCACCUGGUGGACAACUUACUACUACAUCAGAAGUUGAAAACUUUCCAGGCUUUCCUGAAGGAAUACAAGGAUUAGAUCUUACUGAUCGCUUUCGCCAACAAUCUAUUCGUUUCGGAACCGAAAUCUUUACGGAGACUGUUACGAAUGUUGAUUUCUCUACUACCCCUUUUAGGAUUUAUUCAGAUUCUAAAUUGGUUGAGGCGGACACGGUGAUUGUAGCUACUGGUGCAAUUGCAAAGAAGUUGAAGUUUCCUGGAUCGGAAGUGUUUUGGAAUCGGGGGAUUUCAGCUUGUGCUGUUUGUGAUGGGGCGGCACCGAUUUUUAGGGAUAAGCCGCUGGCUGUUGUUGGAGGUGGAGAUUCGGCAAUGGAAGAAGCGAAUUUCUUAACUAAAUUUGGAUCUAAGGUUUAUAUAAUUCAUAGGAGGGAUACGUUUAGAGCAUCAAAGAUUAUGCAGAAGAAGGCUGCAAGUAAUCCUAAGAUUGAGGUUAUUUUGAAUUCGGUUGUGGAAGAAGCUUAUGGAGAUGGGGUUAGAGGGGUUUUGGGAUGGUUGAAGGUUAAGAAUUUAGUGAGUGGGGAUAAAAUGGAUGUGAAGGUUUCGGGUUUGUUUUUCGCUAUUGGACAUGAACCUGCAACUAAGUUCUUAGAUGGUCAAUUGGAGCUUGAUCCUGAUGGGUAUAUUGUGACGAAACCUGGGACAACGGAGACGAGCAUCCAAGGGAUAUUUGCAGCUGGAGAUGUGCAGGAUAAGAAAUAUAGGCAAGCCAUUACUGCAGCUGGUACAGGAUGUAUGGCAGCUUUGGAAUUGGAACAUUACCUACAGGAGAAUGGAUAUCAGGAUGGGAAGACAGAUUGACCAUCUCUGGGGAUACUCAGUCCUUAGCUUCACUGGGAACUCAUCAGUACACUGUUGAUUAAGAACAAUUAUAGGCUGAGCAAAACAGCCACCAUAAAAAUAGUUCUAAGCUCUUAUCAUACAUAUCCGGGCACGUGCGUCGUUCUGUCUACAGUACAUAGCACUGCUAGAUUUAUUUAUGCUUUCAUUUGGCUUAUUAGUGGCAUCUUGAAACUGACCGACAUGCACAUAGCCAUGCUUAUCUGAUGAGUUCCAAAUUCCCGGUUGACAAGUCAGUCGACUUUAAUCAUAAUCAAUCCGCAUUGUUGGAUCUCGCACGGCAUUAAUAGCUAAAGUUAGAUAGAGAAACAUCAAAUCUUUAGUGGAAGUGUCAAAACGAUAGAAAAGGAAGAAAAUUUUACUUAAAGAAGAUGUGUUGAAGCGACUGCCGAAUUGGCUCAACUAAGUAAUGGAUCUAAUUGUCACUUGAGUGCUGUCUUUUAACCCUGCUAUGCCGGUGAAUAUAGGUGUUCAUUUCAGAUCGUGAAGUAGAAGCCUACAAGUAGCAUAUGGAAUUAUCAGUGUGUUGCUUUUAUUCUCUUCCCAUGUUUUAUUGUGUUUAUACUAUUUUAGACAACAAGUUGAUUAUCAAAUCAAUAAACAGUAAGAAUUCUAUUUGUCUGUAGUUCUUUCAGU
Molecule: RNA transcript, 2240 nt
Organism: Papaver somniferum (opium poppy)
Lineage: Eukaryota; Viridiplantae; Streptophyta; Magnoliopsida; Ranunculales; Papaveraceae
Gene name: thioredoxin reductase NTRB-like
Exons: 3
Source: RefSeq, a predicted model, not a curated record